CGAGAAUAAUUCACAAUGGGGGAAACCCUGAUGGUGCAACGCCGCGUGGAGGAUGAAGAUUUUCGGAUCGUAAACUCCUGUCGAGCGGGAAGAAUAGUUUCCGGGCGAAUAUCCCGGGAACCUGACGGUACCGCUAAAGGAAGCCCCGGCUAACUCCGUGCCAGCAGCCGCGGUAAUCCGGGGGGGGCAAGCGUUGUUCGGAAUUACUGGGCGUAAAGGGCUCGUAGGCGGCCAACUAAGUCAGACGUGAAAUCCCCAGGCUUAACCUGGGAACUGCGUCUGAUACUGGAUGGCUUGAAUUCGGGAGAGGGAUGCAGAAUUCCAGGUGUAGCGGUGAAAUGCGUAGAUAUCUGGAGGAAUACCGGUGGCGAAGGCGGCAUCCUGGACCGACAUUGACGCUGAGGAGCGAAAGCUAGGGGAGCAAA
Molecule: ribosomal RNA, 425 nt
Filed under: uncultured bacterium
Lineage: Bacteria
Description: bacterial SSU rRNA
Rfam family: Bacterial small subunit ribosomal RNA
Source: RNAcentral